GACGAACGCUGGCGGCGUGCUUAACACAUGCAAGUCGAACGGAAAGGCCCUGCUUUUGUGGGGUGCUCGAGUGGCGAACGGGUGAGUAACACGUGAGUAACCUGCCCUUGACUUUGGGAUAACUUCAGGAAACUGGGGCUAAUACCGGAUAGGAGCUCCUGCUGCAUGGUGGGGGUUGGAAAGUUUCGGCGGUUGGGGAUGGACUCGCGGCUUAUCAGCUUGUUGGUGGGGUAGUGGCUUACCAAGGCUUUGACGGGUAGCCGGCCUGAGAGGGUGACCGGCCACAUUGGGACUGAGAUACGGCCCAGACUCCUACGGGAGGCAGCAGUGGGGAAUAUUGCACAAUGGGCGGAAGCCUGAUGCAGCAACGCCGCGUGCGGGAUGACGGCCUUCGGGUUGUAACCCGCUUUCGCCUGUGACGAAGCGUGAGCGACGGUAAUGGGUAAAGAAGCACCGGCUAACUACGUG
Molecule: ribosomal RNA, 468 nt
Filed under: uncultured bacterium
Lineage: Bacteria
Description: partial 16S ribosomal RNA
Rfam family: Bacterial small subunit ribosomal RNA
Source: RNAcentral